RNAcentral lists this ribosomal RNA (426 nucleotides) under uncultured bacterium. RNAcentral's name for it is "bacterial SSU rRNA". It matches the Rfam family "Bacterial small subunit ribosomal RNA", at positions 387 to 793 of the family's 1533-position model. The record is from RNAcentral.
UGCAGCCAUGCCGCGUGUAUUGAAGAAGGCCUUCGGGUUGUAAAGACUUUCAGCAGUGAGGAAGGUGGGUAUGUUAAUAGCAUAUUCAUUUGACGUUUAGCUGCAGAAGAAGCACCGGCUAACUCCGUGCCAGCAGCCGCGGUAAUACGGAGGGGUGCGAGCGUUUAAUCGGAAUUACUGGGGCGUAAAAGCGCAUGCAGGUGGUUUGUUAAGUCAGAUGUGAAAAGCCCGGGGCUCAACCUCGGAAUUGCAUUUUGAAAACUGGCAAACUAGAGUACUGUAGAGGGGGGUAGGAAUUUCAGGUGUAGCGGUGAAAUAGCGUAGAGAUCUGAAGGAAUACCGGUGGCGAAGGCGGCCCCCUGGACAGAUACUGACACUCAGAUGCGAAAGACGUGGGGAGGCAAACAGGAUUAGAUACCCUGGUAG